RNAcentral lists this long non-coding RNA (1060 nucleotides) under Haliotis rubra (blacklip abalone). Its description in RNAcentral is "uncharacterized LOC124260923, transcript variant X1". The record is from RNAcentral. Lineage: Eukaryota; Metazoa; Mollusca; Gastropoda; Lepetellida; Haliotidae.
UGGGCUUCACACAUUGUACCCAUGUGGGGAAUCGAACCCGGGUCUUCGGAAUGACGAACGAACGCUUUAACCACUAAGCUACCCCACGGUUCCAACUACCGAAUGAAUAAGGUUAAGAAACACACUGAUAAAUGCUUUUGAGCUUAUAACGAAACGAUACCAGUGGUGGCAAUAAAGUUGUGUCCCCAAAAAUAGCGGUGAAAGUUAUAUGAGCGGAUCCCUGUCAUUCAGUGAUGACACCAGGUGUUUGCGAAUGGUGUCCUUCCUAACCAAUCGUACCCGCCGUCCACACACGCCUCAAUAAGUGUUUGCCUUUCUAUGAGUUUCGUUUACCGUAAUACACAACAAUAUUCCUUCUAUAUGACAGAACCUGUCGUUGUCUCAGACUGCCAGGCCCAGAGCAAUAGACAACCAUGCUUCGGAACAUGCUCUAAAUACAGCGAUUCUCGAGGUAACACAGGCUGUAUUCUCUAAAUACAGCGAUUCUCGAGGUAACACAGGCUGUAUUCUCUAAAUACAGCGAUUCUCGAGGUAACACAGGCUGUAUUCUCUAAAUACAGCGAUUCUCGAGGUAACACAGGCUGUAUUCUCUAAAUACAGCGAUUCUCGAGGUAACACAGGCUGUAUUCUCUAAAUACAGCGAUUCUCGAGGUAACACAGGCUGUAUUCUCUAAAUACAGCGAUUCUCGAGGUAACACAGGCUGUAUUCUCUAAAUACAGCGAUUCUCGAGGUAACACAGGCUGUAUUCUCUAAAUACAGCGAUUCUCGAGGUAACACAGGCUGUAUUCUCUAAAUACAGCGAUUCUCGAGGUAACACAGGCUGUAUUCUCUAAAUACAGCGAUUCUCGAGGUAACACAGGCUGUAUUCUCUAAAUACAGCGAUUCUCGAGGUAACACAGGCUGUAUUCUCUAAAUACAGCGAUUCUCGAGGUAACACAGGCUGUAUUCUCUAAAUACAGCGAUUCUCGAGGUAACACAGGCUGUAUUCUCUAAAUACAGCGAUUCUCGAGGUAACACAGGCUAUGGUACAAAUGCUUUACCUGUAAAAAUUACACCCGG